AUUGAACGCUGGCGGCAUGCUUUACACAUGCAAGUCGAACGGUAACAGGCCGCAAGGUGCUGACGAGUGGCGAACGGGUGCGUAAUGCAUCGGAACGUGCCCAGUCGUGGGGGAUAACUACUCGAAAGAGUAGCUAAUACCGCAUACGAUCUAUGGAUGAAAGCGGGGGACCGUAAGGCCUCGCGCGAUUGGAGCGGCCGAUGUCAGAUUAGGUAGUUGGUGGGGUAAAGGCUCACCAAGCCAACGAUAUGUAGCUGGUCUGAGAGGACGACCAGCCACACUGGGACGGAGACACGGCCCAGACUCCUACGGGAGGCAGCAGUGGGGAAUUUUGGACAAUGGGCGCAAGCCUGAUCCAGCAAUGCCGCGUGCAGGAAGAAGGCCUUCGGAUUGUAAACUGCUUUUGUACGGAACGAAACGGCUCUGGUUAAUACCCGGGGCUAAUGACGGUACCGUAAGAAUAAGCACCGGCUAACUACGUG
RNAcentral lists this ribosomal RNA (482 nucleotides) under uncultured bacterium. RNAcentral's name for it is "partial 16S ribosomal RNA". It matches the Rfam family "Bacterial small subunit ribosomal RNA", at positions 30 to 507 of the family's 1533-position model. The record is from RNAcentral.